AGGAAGUUGCCUUAUUUUAUCCGUGGAAAAGAAUGUUUCCAUAGGUAAAGUAAAAGCGAAUGGAGAAUCUGAAGCUGAAGCACGGAUAAAGUUUGCAAAAGCUCGGAUAUACACGAGGCAGAUUUUUACAACCUGCUGUUUGCAAAAAAUGAAGAGACGUACUGUUUAGAUGAAGAGUGG
This is a long non-coding RNA of Xenia sp. Carnegie-2017, 180 nucleotides long. RefSeq lists it as uncharacterized. The transcript has 3 exons. Lineage: Eukaryota; Metazoa; Cnidaria; Anthozoa; Malacalcyonacea; Xeniidae. The record is from RefSeq and is a predicted model, not a curated record.